UACGUAGGGUGCAAGCGUUAAUCGGAAUUACUGGGCGUAAAGCGUGCGCAGGCGGUCUUGUAAGACCGAUGUGAAAUCCCCGGGCUUAACCUGGGAACUGCAUUGGUGACUGGCAGGCUUUGAGUGUGGCAGAGGGAGGUAGAAUUCCACGUGUAGCAGUGAAAUGCGUAGAGAUGUGGAGGAAUACCGAUGGCGAAGGCAGCCUCCUGGGCCAACACUGACGCUCAUGCACGAAAGCGUGGGGAGCAAACAGG
This 254-nucleotide ribosomal RNA is filed under the name uncultured bacterium. RNAcentral describes it as "partial 16S ribosomal RNA". It matches the Rfam family "Bacterial small subunit ribosomal RNA", at positions 524 to 776 of the family's 1533-position model. The record is from RNAcentral.